GUUGGGUCUUGUUCAGGUUUGCCAGAGUUCAUGCAGAUAGAGAAAAUCUUAACAGUCAACAACGAGAUAAUGUUUCUCUGCGAACCACAAUCUGCAUGGUACAUUGAGCAUUUGCGCUCUUAUGAAUUGUGCAGUUUGCAUUCACUUCAAGUUGUUCUGCCUUCUGAACUGAAUGACCCCUUCCCUUUGGCAGCUUAUAAUAUUCGAGGGUGUUUAUAUGUCACAUUGAAGUAUUACAUCUGUUGCUAAACUGCAUUGUAUCAUUGCAUGUUUCUGAUUUCUACUUUCUUUGUUUUAGAAUUUCACUUAGCCAUGUCCAUGACACUUCGCGUUAUUGUGCACGACAGUGACAUCCGGAAGGUUGUCUUAGAGGAAACACCAGCUGAUGCUGAUGCUUUAAAACAAGUGCUGCAGAAGAAACUGCAACUUGCACACCCAUUCAACCUCCAGUAUGAAGACCCUUUUUUUAACAAUGCAUUAUGCAAUAUCAGUGACAUUAAUGACUUACCAGAGAGAGCGACGGUGAAAAUAAUUCCUCUGGACACAUCACCUUCCUCAAGUCAAGCUGACACCAUAAUUCUCUUAGGUUCUGAUACAUCAGAGCAGUUGUCUGCUGAACGACAGAUUGUAUGGCCAGAUGAGUUUGAGAUACCUAAAUUCUCGGUUAAUGUUGAGUAUCGUCUACGACAGGGAAACCUAGCUUUUAUGAAAGAUGGUACAACUGCUGACGUUGGAAGAGACAUAAAACAUGACAUACUGGAGGGGCUUGCUGGGGCCAUUUACACAUUUAGGGCCUAUCCAAGUGAUAAGGAUUUUACCCAAGUUGCUGCAGCUCUCAUCAAAACACACCCAUGUUUGACUGAACAGGGCUCCACAUCAGGCUUUGCUGGCUGGAAAAACAGCCUAAAGUUUAAAAUGGCCAACUACAGAUCAAAAAUGCGUAAAUCUGGCUGUAGUGAUGUUGCAAUUGGGGAAAAGAGAAGGCAACAAAGCAUCAAGGCAUCAAAAAACCCAGACGAUCUGAGUUGAAUUUCUUGCCAAACUUUCCUAAUGGCGAAGAUGAAGAAAGCCAAGAACGUACAAUAGAACUUGUAGAAGAAAUGAAAAGGAGGCCUCUAAACAUGAGCUUGAUUGGCCAAAAGAUGGACAGUACAUUUGCCUUGAGACGAAAAGAAAUUGUCCACUCUGAACCUCUUGUCAGUGACAUCUUGGAAAAGUAGCCGGCACUUUUUUUGGAAAGUCAGAUCUUUGCAGAAUUCAGUCGAAUUUCGGGAAGAAAUUUGAGAUCGGAGUUCUACACUGCAUUAGACACACACUCAGCUCGCUUGAUAGAAAUUUUCAAAAAAAGAGGAGGAAAUCAGGGAAAAAAACUAGAUGAGAUUUUGCAACAAGUUUAUUCUAAGCCAUCUGAUGUGACAGUUGUCCGCUCCGCAGUUCUUCAGGGUCUUCCAGUCCUUUUGGGGGAUGA
Non-coding RNA from Danio rerio (zebrafish), 1468 nucleotides. NCBI's taxonomy places the organism in Eukaryota, Metazoa, Chordata, Actinopteri, Cypriniformes, Danionidae. The record is from RefSeq and is a predicted model, not a curated record.